Molecule: ribosomal RNA, 465 nt
Filed under: uncultured bacterium
Lineage: Bacteria
Description: partial 16S ribosomal RNA
Rfam family: Bacterial small subunit ribosomal RNA
Source: RNAcentral
GAUGAACGCUGGCGGCGUGCUUAACACAUGCAAGUCGAACGGAAAGGCCCAAGCUUGCUUGGGUCCUCGAGUGGCGAACGGGUGAGUAACACGUGGGUGAUCUGCCCUGCACUUCGGGAUAAGCCUGGGAAACUGGGUCUAAUACCGGAUAGGACCACAUUUUGGAUGGUGUGGUGGAAAGUUUUUCGGUGUGGGAUGAGCUCGCGGCCUAUCAGCUUGUUGGUGGGGUAAUGGCCUACCAAGGCGUCGACGGGUAGCCGGCCUGAGAGGGUGUACGGCCACAUUGGGACUGAGAUACGGCCCAGACUCCUACGGGAGGCAGCAGUGGGGAAUAUUGCACAAUGGGCGCAAGCCUGAUGCAGCGACGCCGCGUGGGGGAUGACGGCCUUCGGGUUGUAAACUCCUUUCGCUAGGGACGAAGCGCAAGUGACGGUACCUGGAGAAGAAGCACCGGCUAACUACGUG